RNAcentral lists this ribosomal RNA (253 nucleotides) under uncultured bacterium. RNAcentral's name for it is "partial 16S ribosomal RNA". It matches the Rfam family "Bacterial small subunit ribosomal RNA", at positions 524 to 776 of the family's 1533-position model. The record is from RNAcentral.
UACGGAGGGUGCGAGCGUUGUCCGGAAUCACUGGGCGUAAAGGGCGCGUAGGCGGCUACGCACGUCCGUUGUGAAAUCGCUCGGCUCAACUGGGCGGGGUCAGCGGAUACGGCGUAGCUGGAGCAAGCUAGGGGGCAAUGGAAUUCCCGGUGUAGUGGUGGAAUGCGUAGAUAUCGGGAGGAACACCAGUGGCGAAGGCGGUUGCCUGGAGCUUUGCUGACGCUGAUGCGCGAAAGCGUGGGGAGCGAUCCGG